This 459-nucleotide ribosomal RNA is filed under the name uncultured bacterium. Its description in RNAcentral is "partial 16S ribosomal RNA". It matches the Rfam family "Bacterial small subunit ribosomal RNA", at positions 338 to 795 of the family's 1533-position model. The record is from RNAcentral.
CCUACGGGAGGCAGCAGUGAGGAAUAUUGGUCAAUGGCCGAGAGGCUGAACCAGCCAAGCCGCGUGAGGGUAGAAUGUCCUAUGGAUUGUAAACCUCUUUUGUCAGGGAGCAAAGUCACCCACGUGUGGGUGUUUGAGAGUACUUGAAGAAAAAGCAUCGGCUAACUCCGUGCCAGCAGCCGCGGUAAUACGGGGGAUGCAAGCGUUAUCCGGAUUUAUUGGGUUUAAAGGGUGAGUAGGCGGGUUAUCAGGUUAGCGGGAAAAUCGUGGAGCUAAACUCCAUCCAGCCGUUGAGACUGAUGAUCUUGAGUGGGGGAGAGGUAUGCGGAAUGCGGGGUGUAGCGGUGAAAUGCAUAGAUAUCACGAAGAACUCCGAUUGCGAAGGCAGCAUACCGGAGACCGACUGACGCUGAGGCACGAAAGCGUGGGGAGCGAACAGGAUUAGAUACCCCAGUAGUC